Molecule: ribosomal RNA, 635 nt
Filed under: uncultured bacterium
Lineage: Bacteria
Description: bacterial SSU rRNA
Rfam family: Bacterial small subunit ribosomal RNA
Source: RNAcentral
AGAGUUUGAUCCUGGCUCAGAACGAACGCUGGCGGCAGGCCUAACACAUGCAAGUCGAGCGCCCGCAAGGGAGCGGCAGACGGGUGAGUAACGCGUGGGAACGUGCCCUUUGGUUCGGAAUAUUCCCGGGAAACUGGGAGCAAAACCGGAUAAGCCCUUCGGGGGAAAGUUUACGCCAAAGGAUCGGCCCGCGUUAGAUUAGGUAGUUGGUGGGGUAACGGCCUACCAAGCCUACGAUCUAUAGCUGAUCUGAGAGGAUGAUCAGCCACACUGGGACUGAGACACGGCCCAGACUCCUACGGGAGGCAGCAGUGGGGAAUCUUGGACAAUGGGCGCAAGCCUGAUCCAGCCAUGCCGCGUGGAUGACUGAAGGCCCUAGGGUUGUAAAGUCCUUUCGACGGGGACGAUAAUGACGGUACCCGUAGAAGAAGCCCCGGCUAACUUCGUGCCAGCAGCCGCGGUAAUACGAAGGGGGCUAGCGUUGUUCGGAUUUACUGGGCGUAAAGGGCGCGUAGGCGGAUUUUUAAGUCGGGGGUGAAAUCCCGGAGCUCAACUCCGGAACUGCCUUCGAUACUGGAAGUCUGGAGCACGGUAGAGGUGAGUGGAAUUCCGAGUGUAGAGGUGAAAUUCGUAGA